UACGUAGGUGGCAAGCGUUGUCCGGAUUUACUGGGUGUAAAGGGCGUGUAGCCGGGCUGACAAGUCAGAUGUGAAAUCCGGGGGCUCAACCCCCGAACUGCAUUUGAAACUGUUGGUCUUGAGUAUCGGAGAGGCAGGCGGAAUUCCUAGUGUAGCGGUGAAAUGCGUAGAUAUUAGGAGGAACACCAGUGGCGAAGGCGGUCUGCUGGACAGCAACUGACGCUGAGGCGCGAAAGCGUGGGGAGCAAACAGG
This 253-nucleotide ribosomal RNA is filed under the name uncultured bacterium. RNAcentral's name for it is "partial 16S ribosomal RNA". It matches the Rfam family "Bacterial small subunit ribosomal RNA", at positions 524 to 776 of the family's 1533-position model. The record is from RNAcentral.